Anser brachyrhynchus (Pink-footed goose) is the source of this 2068-nucleotide long non-coding RNA. The record is from Ensembl. Lineage: Eukaryota; Metazoa; Chordata; Aves; Anseriformes; Anatidae.
AAAAAAAACAGGAAAAAAAAGGUUUCCCUCUCAGCAUAGGGCUGUUAUCUCAUUUCUGUUUCUGGUAAGGGUCAAGGCUCCAUUUUCACUGAGUUAUAUACAACUUCAAACCCCUCUAGUGAACUUGUGGGUGUAAAACUUGGGGAAAAAGAAAGAAAAAAAAAUCUCUUUCUAUACUUCCCAGAAAUGGCUCUUUGACAGGAGUCUUCUUUUUAGACUGUUGACUGCCAAAUUCACCUGCAAGCUUUUUCUGGGACAUGAAUGGAUUCCAGGCCUCCCACACCAAAAUGCUGCCUCUAUCUCCAGUCCUCACAGGGAUGUCAGCACUAAGACACCUGCUCCUGUUGGAUAUUAACUGGCUCAUCAUAAUCUACAGUCAUCACCACGCAGUUGGGGUGCUCACACGCUGCCAGACAACAUCAUUAAAGGCGGUGUGGCAAUAAAACUUUACUACUGAAAAGUUACCUCCACUUCACACUGGUGUUAGGGAGACCUUGGGCGAUGCAACUGAAUUUGACGGAGCAGGGAAUCGGCAGCAAAAAGCAUCAGCUGUGAAUCAAUCACUCACCCAAGCUGUUCUGCAGUGCUUGUGUCUGACCAGCGUCAUGAGCGAGUGGUUCACGACAGCACAGACACACACUGGUGCUCCCCGUGCACGAGACAAAGCUCCAAGUGAAGGAGAGAAGUUGUGUGCCCAUGGCCAUGCUUGGUUUCCCUGCUGCGUGGGAUGGCACAUCAGAGCAAGUGGUUGUUGCCUACAGUCUGGACAGCUGUGCCCCACACCUAAAAAGAAGAAAAUCAAAGAAAUUCAGCUUUUUUUUUCUUUUUCUUUUUUUUUUUUUUUUACUGCUAGUUAAAAGGGUCCAUGUGAUUCAGAGACGGGAUGACACUGUCUAUGUGCCAGACUCUCUCCUUUGUCAUGGGAUCAUGGAGAUGCAGCUCCUCCGCAGGGAGAAGUACUUAUGGCAAUGUAUUAUUGAAGAAAAUCAUAGUGCUUUGGCUCAGAUGUCAAUUCCCAUUAUAAGGCAAUGCUGUGACAAUGUUCUGACCACAGAAGAGUCCCAUUGACCACUGGACCUUGCAUCUGCUCCUACUUUGCCUGUGACUUCUUUGGUUCCCUGAAAGACAAUCUUAUCUGCAUUGCAGAUGAUCCUUUAAUCCUCAGGUCCUCCUGGAGCACAGCACUGCUUACAGCUGGCUUGGCAGAGGCAUGGCUGUUCAGCAUAAUUUAAGGCUGUGAGCACACAUCAUCUCCCGGCUACAGGCAUGCCCGCGGGCUGCUGCCCCUCUGCCACACCGGCUCCGUGUCGCUGCCUCUUUGGCAUCUGAGGCACUGUCUGAGCGCUCCCUCCUUCGAACAACACAAGCGAAGACCUGCAGCCUGCACUCAGUAACUCUCCCCUGCUGAACCACAGACUUGUCUCCCGCUGGGGUCAGCAGGAAGCCUGUGAUGGUCACACAGCAGUGCUCCUGCUCAGUGUACUGCAAUACAGACUUAAGCCUCAUCUGUGGCAUGUCAGCCGAUAUUCCCCCUCAGGUGAAAUUCUUAAGGAAGAAGGUCAAGGCCACUUUAAAAAAAAAAUACGUGAUUAUAUGCUAUGGGUUGAUUUCAUCACCCACUCUUUCUGCCUUGGACCAAUUCAUUAAAUCAUUAGUUAAGCUGACUUAGCUCCCUUGACUCAGUAGCUAUUCCUGGUGCAAGGCUUUUUUUAAAAAAUGAGGGCAUUCACAGGCAAAUUCAGCAGCCAUCCAUCAACCAGCUGUCCCUCGAGAAAAGGAAAUUAGGGCUUUGACUAUCCUCCCAGUUUUAUGAUCUUGUCUUUCCACUAAAAUUGAGCUAGACCUCUGGGGGUAAGGAUAACAAAAAGCUCGCUGAGUCAGUAUUUAGGUUCUGCUUCCCUUUGCCACAUAUUACUCCCGCUUUGCAGCCAGGCUCCCACUCUCCUGAAUUCUCUGUCCAGAAGUUGGAGAUUAUAAUAGUGGAAAUUAUUUCGUUCCUGGGCCUGAAAGUAAAAAUAAUAACAACAAUAAUAAUAAUAAUAAUCUUAUGCUUUCAGAAAAAUUUUGC